Long non-coding RNA from Empidonax traillii (willow flycatcher), 708 nucleotides. RefSeq lists it as uncharacterized. The record is from RefSeq and is a predicted model, not a curated record. The transcript is spliced from 3 exons. Lineage: Eukaryota; Metazoa; Chordata; Aves; Passeriformes; Tyrannidae.
UAAGUGAAUAGCCCAUACAGAGAUCAAAUACAACCUUGGUAUUAUUACCACCAUGUUCUAGCCAAAACCUGGGAGAACCAAGUACUGUGUCGUGCCUGAAGUGUGGCCAGUGGAUUGUAGGAAGCUAUCAUCCCCUCUGUUUGACUCUGCUGAGUACUCUUAUGAAAUGAUUUGUCCAGUUUUAGGUUCCCCAUUUGCAAAGGGAGGUGAACUAAAAGGAGAGUCGAGCAGGUGGCUGGCAAGAUGAGCAAGGGUCUGGAAAACUUGUACUGUGAAGAGAGUGUGGUUAGUAUGAGGGGAAAAAGGGUAAUGUACAUGAGGGGCAACUACAAAGACAGCGUGCCAAGCUUUUUCAUGAGCAGCAGACAAUUUAACAAGGGGCAAUAACCACAAAUUGUUGCUUGAAAAUCUCCACUUAGACACUUGGAAGAUUCUCACACAUUAGGAAAAUUCUCACUUAGACAAUAGGAAAACUCUUGACUAUUGAGCAACGGAGAAAUGGCACAGGUUACCCACAGAGCUUGUGGAGCCUCCAUCUGAAAAGCUUGGCUCGCCAAAGCUGUGACUAAUUGGACCAACACCUGCAAUAGAUGUGCUUGAAGUGGGAGACUGAACAAAAGACCUCCAGAUGGUCUGUCACAACAGAAGCUCUGUGGCUUUAAUGUAGAGGUUUCCUCAUCCAUCCAAAGCAGACAACUGCUCAAAGCU